This is a long non-coding RNA of Nerophis lumbriciformis (worm pipefish), 1177 nucleotides long. RefSeq lists it as uncharacterized. The record is from RefSeq and is a predicted model, not a curated record. NCBI's taxonomy places the organism in Eukaryota, Metazoa, Chordata, Actinopteri, Syngnathiformes, Syngnathidae.
UGCUGGUGGAGAGAGGACAGACCGAGGAAAGCUAGUUGGACUUCCAUCGCUACGCCGCAUCUUACAGUCAGAUAAUUCCUCAAAGUUCUCCCUGGAAGACAUUUUAUCGCUGGAAUUGCCAAUUUUGGAUCAACCGUUUUUGAGAGUUCAGGCGAAGGAUUUCUAUACGAGCAUUGUUUACAUUGUAAACCAAGUGGAUCACCAUGGAUUUAACAGGACCACUAUGGAUCACUUUUGUGGAAUAUAAAGAACAACUCGCACCUUUUAAAAGCAAGAUGGGCGCUUUUAAGUCCAUUUGUUUGUCUACUGGACCUCAGUGGACAUAUGGGAACUCAUUGUGGAUGGGGUUGAUGGCAAGGAAUGGAAUAUCUUGGGAUAUUAGCAGCUGGGAUGCUUGUGUUGCCCUCAAGGGACAUCUCCUGAUCACACAGUGCAAGACUCCCAAAUUCCAAGAGUGAGCUGUUAAUCGUCGCCACAGAUCCGACUGAUGAGAUCAGGUGAGCGUGAAGAAACUGGAAACAAGAUCUCAUGGAGUUCCCCAGGAUCAGGCUAAAUCCUGGUUUGGACCGUGGGGACUUGCUUGACCAUCAGCAGAUGUUUUCUCCUGGCAAAGCGUCAGACGGCAUGUGCUCCAUCACUGACGAUCUCGCCCUCAAGAUCCAGCGUCAGCUACUUGGACCGAGGGAAGCUUUGACAUAAACCCAGCAGGACAGUGGAGAGGAUUCGAUUUCGCAGACGUUAUGAGACAGAUCCGUCAAGCCCUGUCUUGCGUUCGGAAAGGGAAGCCAAGUCGGCGAAUGUGCUCUAAGUGUACCUUCGUUAACCACAGUGGAUGGACAUAUUGUUUGACUUAUUCUACACUGAGCCUGGAUUAAUAUUUUCCCGUGUGGACAUCUGCUUUUCAUACUGGCGCUCCAGCUCAAAAGCCGUCCGUGUCACAUCGACUGUAUUAUCCGGGAUACAUCAACAAGCGCUGGAACUGCGAAAGGAAAAUAAUCAGAAGUUACUUUCAUUCUUGUACGGAGACCUGAGCCAGUAUUUAGACCACUUGGACUGGUCAAGGCCAGAUGAUUGAGGACUGAGCAGGGAAAAAAACCCUCAACCGGACCAGUCCACUUAAUCUGAACCCAAUUCCUUGAUUUAGUACAGUUGAAAUAAACUGAUCUGUUAUUUUGAA